RNAcentral lists this ribosomal RNA (120 nucleotides) under uncultured bacterium. Its description in RNAcentral is "partial 16S ribosomal RNA". It matches the Rfam family "Bacterial small subunit ribosomal RNA", at positions 28 to 161 of the family's 1533-position model. The record is from RNAcentral.
GAUAAACGUUGGCGGCGUGCCUAAUGCAUGCAAGUCGCACGGAGCUUCGGCUCAGUGGCGGACGGGUGAGUAACACGUAGGAACCUGCCCAGAAGUGGGGGAUAACUCCUCGAAAGAGGA